AGAGCUGAUUGGCGCUUCCGCGCUCAGGCGGUGUUACAACAGCUGUUGCUACUGGCUUCGCUCGGGCUCCGCCGGGAGCCAAUCGGGAGGCGCCGAACCGCGCCUCGGCUCGCACCGCGCCACUGAGGAGAGGAGGAGCGGCAGCCAAUCAGCGCCGGUAGAAGGGCGAGGGCGAUCACCCCAACUGGUGCCGAUUGGCUGAGCCCACGGGCAGCCUGGCCAAUAGCGGCAGGGACGUGGUUAUAAAAGGCUCGGCGGGGGCGGAGUGGGGCCUUUCCGGCGGGCAGGGCCGGCGGGACCCGCACCGCACCGGCGGCACGGGAAGGGAGGCACGAGGGCCUGGCGGGCGCCGUGGAGCUCCGGCCGGUGAGGUGCACACGUGUGUGGUGGGCUGCUGCUCCUGAGCCCGCUCGGGAAGCUGUGCGGGACCACGAGGUGCUUUGGGGCAAGUGGAAUCGGGGCUGGAGUAACGGGACCUGGUGGGCCGCGUGUAGCUGUGACUCCAGGCGUAACGUAGGCAUCAGGCUGUGAAUACAGCAAGGGAUGCACCCGAAUACAGCUAAAAAACGCGUUUGGGGUUGCUGUAUCAAACAGUGAAACCGAUGUUUUUCAUGCUGUACAAUUAAAGAGUCUGUGUAGUUUUUAAAGAACGCAGCAUCAGCUGCAGGAUGCUGUGAAAUAAAAUAAAAACUUUUUUUCUCUGCCACGUGGUAGCCUACAGCAAAGGUAAUGGCAGGCAGUGGAUGCAGUAGUACAGGUAAACAAAACGAUUCACAGCCAGCAGUCCUCACAGUGAUUGUGUAGGAGACUGACUUAAAUCUUAAUUCUAAUAUUUUUUUUUAAUAUAACAAGUUGUUCAUGUCUUUGUUCUUUCCUUGUUCUCAAAUCAAGUUCAAUGUUGUAAAUUUUAAACUGCUUGCUGCUGUAUCUCCGCUUUGUGUUCUCUAUUGGGCUGGUUCUACAGCUUACAGAUAAUUCAAUAAAGUUUUCAAAAGACU
Long non-coding RNA from Anas platyrhynchos (mallard), 998 nucleotides. RefSeq lists it as uncharacterized. The record is from RefSeq and is a predicted model, not a curated record. Lineage: Eukaryota; Metazoa; Chordata; Aves; Anseriformes; Anatidae.